CCAGACUCCUACGGGAGGCAGCAGUGGGGAAUAUUGGGCAAUGGGCGCAAGCCUGACCCAGCAAUGCCGCGUGAAGGAAGAAGGCCUUCGGGUUGUAAACUUCUUUUAUCAGGGACGAAGGAUGUGACGGUACCUGAUGAAUAAGCUCCGGCUAACUACGUGCCAGCAGCCGCGGUAAUACGUAGGGAGCAAGCGUUAUCCGGAUUUACUGGGUGUAAAGGGCGUGCAGCCGGGAAGACAAGUCAGAUGUGAAAUCCCGCGGCUCAACCGCGGAACUGCAUUUGAAACUGUUUUUCUUGAGUACCGGAGAGGUCAUCGGAAUUCCUUGUGUAGCGGUGAAAUGCGUAGAUAUAAGGAAGAACACCAGUGGCGAAGGCGGAUGACUGGACGGCAACUGACGGUGAGGCGCGAAAGCGUGGGGAGCAAACAGGAUUAGAUACCCUCGUAUG
Molecule: ribosomal RNA, 449 nt
Filed under: uncultured bacterium
Lineage: Bacteria
Description: partial 16S ribosomal RNA
Rfam family: Bacterial small subunit ribosomal RNA
Source: RNAcentral